This 468-nucleotide ribosomal RNA is filed under the name uncultured bacterium. Its description in RNAcentral is "partial 16S ribosomal RNA". It matches the Rfam family "Bacterial small subunit ribosomal RNA", at positions 28 to 507 of the family's 1533-position model. The record is from RNAcentral.
GACGAACGCUGGCGGCGUGCUUAACACAUGCAAGUCGAACGGAAAGGCCCUGCUUUUGUGGGGUGCUCGAGUGGCGAACGGGUGAGUAACACGUGAGUAACCUGCCCUUGACUUUGGGAUAACUUCACGAAACUGGGGCUAAUACCGGAUAGGAUCUCCUGCUGCAUGGUGGGGGUUGGAAAGUUUCGGCGGUUGGGGAUGGACUCGCGGCUUAUCAGCUUGUUGGUGGGGUAGUGGCUUACCAAGGCUUUGACGGGUAGCCGGCAUGAGAGGGUGACCGGCCACAUUGGGACUGAGAGACGGACCAGACUCCUACGGGAGGCAGCAGUGGGGAAUAUUGCACAAUGGGCGGAAGCCUGAUGCAGCAACGCCGCGUGCGGGAUGACGGCCUUCGGGUUGUAAACCGCUUUCGCCUGUGACGAAGCGGGAGUGACGGUAAUGGGUAAAGAAGCACCGGCUAACUACGUG